GACGAACGCUGGCGGCGUGCUUAACACAUGCAAGUCGAACGGAAAGGCCCUGCUUUUGUGGGGUGCUCGAGUGGCGAACGGGUGAGUAACACGUGAGUAACCUGCCCUUGACUUUGGGAUAACUUCAGGAAACUGGGGCUAAUACCGGAUAGGAGCUCCUGCUGCAUGGUGGGGGUUGGAAAGUUUCGGCGGUUGGGGAUGGACUCGCGGCUUAUCAGCUUGCUGGUGGGGUAGUGGCUUACCAAGGCUUUGACGGGUAGCCGGCCUGAGAGGGUGACCGGCCACAUUGGGACUGAGAUACGGACCAGACUCCUACGGGAGGCAGCAGUGGGGAAUAUUGCACAAUGGGCGGAAGCCUGAUGCAGCAACGCCGCGUGCGGGAUGACGGCCUUCGGGUUGUAAACCGCUUUCGCCUGUGACGAAGCGUGAGUGACGGUAAUGGGUAAAGAAGCACCGGCUAACUACGUG
This 468-nucleotide ribosomal RNA is filed under the name uncultured bacterium. Its description in RNAcentral is "partial 16S ribosomal RNA". It matches the Rfam family "Bacterial small subunit ribosomal RNA", at positions 28 to 507 of the family's 1533-position model. The record is from RNAcentral.